UACGAGGGGGGCGAGCGUUGUUCGGAAUUAUUGGGCGUAAAGGGCGCGUAGGCGGUCGGAUAAGUCUUGUGUGAAAUCUUCGGGCUCAACUCGAAGUCUGCACAGGAAACUAUCUGGCUUGAGUGUGGGAGAGGUGAGUGGAAUUCCUGGUGUAGCGGUGAAAUGCGUAGAUAUCAGGAGGAACACCUGUGGCGAAAGCGGCUCACUGGACCACAACUGACGCUGAGGCGCGAUAGCGUGGGGAUCAAACAGG
Molecule: ribosomal RNA, 253 nt
Filed under: uncultured bacterium
Lineage: Bacteria
Description: partial 16S ribosomal RNA
Rfam family: Bacterial small subunit ribosomal RNA
Source: RNAcentral